UUCUCUUUUGCUUGGACAAUUUGGCAGUUGGUAGUUAUUAAUAGUACUUUAACUUCAUGGCUGCCCCAUCAUCAAGCUGCUUCAACUGCUGCUACUGCUCUGCUUCCAAACACAACUCUUCAAUUUCAUACACUAACUUUCCCUUGUCUUUUUCUUGUCCAAUCUUCAAUGGCUGCAAUGGAAUUUCACUAAGCAGAACUGGGUUUACCUCAAGAACAUAUGCCAAGUUUGAGAAAAUCCAAGGUGACCCUUCUGAAGCCAAUCUUGAAGAUACUUCAGUUUCUUCUGGGCAAACACAGCAACAAACUCUUCAAGAAAAAGAUGACACGUUUACUGCUUACCAUCUGACUUGGAGGGUACAGUCAGGUAAUCAGGUCAAGCAAGUGCCUUGUUUGUUUCUUCAGGAGGAAUGAGAGCUACCGUUGAGCUCCUAAUACCUCAGCUACAGUUUCCUGAUGGUGAAGGUGUACAAGCUGAGUUUUGGGAACUAUCAAGAAUUUUCUUGGAUACACUUAAAGAAGGAACUCGAUGUCAGAUUAUGGAAGGUGUUUUAUGAUGAUAGAGACAGGCCUGGCGGAUAUCUGCUUGCAAAAGAACUUGUGAGCCGUCCUGUUGCAGAAGAACU
Non-coding RNA from Durio zibethinus, 625 nucleotides. NCBI's taxonomy places the organism in Eukaryota, Viridiplantae, Streptophyta, Magnoliopsida, Malvales, Malvaceae. The record is from RefSeq and is a predicted model, not a curated record.